AUGCACCACGCGUACACUCCGGUUCCUCCGAGACGUCCGCACCUCACCUGACGACUACUCGCUCCGUGCUGCUGGCC
This 77-nucleotide small RNA is filed under the name Xanthomonas arboricola. RNAcentral's name for it is "sX9 sRNA". It matches the Rfam family "Xanthomonas sRNA sX9". The record is from RNAcentral. Lineage: Bacteria; Pseudomonadati; Pseudomonadota; Gammaproteobacteria; Lysobacterales; Lysobacteraceae.